CAUAAUGGCUGCUAUUUGUUGGCAACAGGUCCACCUUGGCCCCUGGAGCCCUACCUCCACUAGUUUGUUCUGCAUGCCAGUGUGGCCAGCUCACAAGGCCAUGGCGAACUUGCGGUUUUUCUGUUCCUGCUUAUCCGUCUGAGACACAUGUAUCCCACGGGAAUGCCUUGACCUUUUCUGGUCUGAUGGACUUAUUGUUAAGGGAGGUUUCGGUACCUGACAAUAAUAGAUGUUGAAACUAAAUUUCUCCCCCCUCCCUCCUGCUUUUGGGUAGUUUUCCACUUCUGCUGCUUGGGGUAUAAAAAAAGGUGUGUUAGCAAUAAAGAUUAUUAUUGACUCCUGG
RNAcentral lists this long non-coding RNA (343 nucleotides) under Marmota monax (woodchuck). Lineage: Eukaryota; Metazoa; Chordata; Mammalia; Rodentia; Sciuridae. The record is from RNAcentral.